GGGGCUGGGGCUCAGUGGUAGAGUGCUCGCCUAGUAUGUGGGAGGCCCUGGGUUCGAUCCUCAGCACCA
RNAcentral lists this transfer RNA (69 nucleotides) under Ictidomys tridecemlineatus (thirteen-lined ground squirrel). RNAcentral describes it as "Spermophilus tridecemlineatus (thirteen-lined ground squirrel) tRNA". It matches the Rfam family "tRNA". Rfam says of the family: Transfer RNA (tRNA) molecules are approximately 80 nucleotides in length. Their secondary structure includes four short double-helical elements and three loops (D, anti-codon, and T loops). Lineage: Eukaryota; Metazoa; Chordata; Mammalia; Rodentia; Sciuridae. The record is from Rfam by way of RNAcentral.